GGAUGUCAGGGUGACAUGGCUGCGGCAACUAUCACCCCGUCUACCAGUUACUCUGGGAUGCUGUUCCCUCCCUAAGAACUCCACUGGAGGAAGAAGAGGUUCACUUUGCCCACACAGGAGUGCUCUUUGAUCAAGGGUACAGGAGUGGCUGGGCUCACCUACCAGAAUCUCCAAAUCAGGCCUCAGGGUCCAUGCAUAGAAGAAUACAGGUGGUCAGAAUAAAAAUGCAGUGAAUUAAACACUGCAU
This 247-nucleotide small nuclear RNA is filed under the name Ochotona princeps (American pika). Its description in RNAcentral is "7SK RNA (ENSOPRG00000024085.1)". It matches the Rfam family "7SK RNA". Rfam says of the family: 7SK was discovered as an abundant small nuclear RNA in the mid-70s but a possible function has only recently been suggested. Two independent studies have found that 7SK RNA binds the CDK9/cyclin T complex (known as elongation factor P-TEFb). The record is from RNAcentral. Lineage: Eukaryota; Metazoa; Chordata; Mammalia; Lagomorpha; Ochotonidae.